RNAcentral lists this ribosomal RNA (546 nucleotides) under uncultured bacterium. RNAcentral describes it as "partial 16S ribosomal RNA". It matches the Rfam family "Bacterial small subunit ribosomal RNA", at positions 355 to 888 of the family's 1533-position model. The record is from RNAcentral.
UGGGGAAUUUUGGACAAUGGGCGAAAGCCUGAUCCAGCAAUGCCGCGUGUGUGAAGAAGGCCUUCGGGUUGUAAAGCACUUUUGUCCGGAAAGAAAUCCUUGGCUCUAAUACAGUCGGGGGAUGACGGUACCGGAAGAAUAAGCACCGGCUAACUACGUGCCAGCAGCCGCGGUAAUACGUAGGGUGCAAGCGUUAAUCGGAAUUACUGGGCGUAAAGCGUGCGCAGGCGGUUUGCUAAGACCGAUGUGAAAUCCCCGGGCUCAACCUGGGAACUGCAUUGGUGACUGGCAGGCUAGAGUAUGGCAGAGGGGGGUAGAAUUCCACGUGUAGCAGUGAAAUGCGUAGAGAUGUGGAGGAAUACCGAUGGCGAAGGCAGCCCCCUGGGCCAAUACUGACGCUCAUGCACGAAAAGCGUGGGGGAGCAAAACAGGAUUAGAUACCCCUGGGUAGUCCACGCCCUAAAACGAUGUCAACUAGUUGUUGGGGAUUCAUUUCCUUAGUAACGUAGCUAACGCGUGAAGUUGACCGCCUGGGGAGUACGGUCG